This 452-nucleotide ribosomal RNA is filed under the name uncultured bacterium. Its description in RNAcentral is "bacterial SSU rRNA". It matches the Rfam family "Bacterial small subunit ribosomal RNA", at positions 335 to 799 of the family's 1533-position model. The record is from RNAcentral.
ACUCCUACGGGAGGCAGCAGUGGGGAAUCUUGCGCAAUGGGCGAAAGCCUGACGCAGCCAUGCCGCGUGAAUGAUGAAGGUCUUAGGAUUGUAAAAUUCUUUCACCGGGGACGAUAAUGACGGUACCCGGAGAAGAAGCCCCGGCUAACUUCGUGCCAGCAGCCGCGGUAAUACGAAGGGGGCUAGCGUUGCUCGGAAUUACUGGGGCGUAAAGGGGAGCGUAGGCGGACAUUUAAGUCAGGGGUGAAAUCCCGGGGGCUCAACCUCGGAAUUGCCUUUGAUACUGGGGUGUCUUGAGUAUGAGAGAGGUGUGUGGAACUCCGAGUGUAGAGGUGAAAUUCGUAGAUAUUCGGAAGAACACCAGUGGCGAAGGCGACACACUGGCUCAUUACUGACGCUGAGGCUCGAAAGCGUGGGGAGCAAACAGGAUUAGAUACCCUGGUAGGAUAGCG